Molecule: ribosomal RNA, 503 nt
Filed under: uncultured bacterium
Lineage: Bacteria
Description: partial 16S ribosomal RNA
Rfam family: Bacterial small subunit ribosomal RNA
Source: RNAcentral
AUUGAACGCUGGCGGCAGGCUUAACACAUGCAAGUCGAGCGGGGUGAUGGUGCUUGCACUAUCACUUAGCGGCGGACGGGUGAGUAAUGCUUAGGAAUCUGCCUAUUAGUGGGGGACAACAUCUCGAAAGGGAUGCUAAUACCGCAUACGUCCUACGGGAGAAAGCAGGGGAUCACUUGUGACCUUGCGCUAAUAGAUGAGCCUAAGUCGGAUUAGCUAGUUGGUGGGGCAAAGGCCUACCAAGGCGACGAUCUGUAGCGGGUCUGAGAGGAUGAUCUGCCACACUGGGACUGAGACACGGCCCAGACUCCUACGGGAGGCAGCAGUGGGGAAUAUUGGACAAUGGGGGGAACCCUGAUCCAGCCAUGCCGCGUGUGUGAAGAAGGCCUUAUGGUUGUAAAGCACUUUAAGCGAGGAGGAGGCUCUUUUGGUUAAUACCCAAGAUGAGUGGACGUUACUCGCAGAAUAAGCACCGGCUAACUCUGUGCCAGCAGCCGCGGUAA